Molecule: RNA transcript, 1994 nt
Organism: Populus trichocarpa (black cottonwood)
Lineage: Eukaryota; Viridiplantae; Streptophyta; Magnoliopsida; Malpighiales; Salicaceae
Gene name: phospholipase A1-Igamma1, chloroplastic
Exons: 3
Source: RefSeq, a predicted model, not a curated record
AUUAUUAUAUCACUUGUUCAAUGACUCGUCAUAGUUAGCUACCAUACCACACCCUCCGAAAAUAUAUAUUAUUUCAGUGGCCACCUUGUGUUUGCUUCACACAUUCCUCAAUUCAACAAUAAUGGCCAAUCUCUCUCUACCGAACACGCUUCAGCUUCCUUUCAAACAAGACAUCUUCCAAUCCAAAAGGUUCUCCCCUGCACACCUUCCUCGCCAAAACUCUCAACUUGGCGUAUCAAAAUCCAUAGAAUUCGAAAGAAAAACAUCCACCAGUACUGCCAUACCUCGUGUCUUGUCCAAAGCAAGCGAGUCAUUAACAUCCACGAUCACCAAGCAUGAGAAAGAAGAGGACUAUAAUACCAAUACAAACACCAAAGAACCAGAGCGAAAACUGGCCGAUGUGUGGAGAGAAAUCCAGGGAAAAGAUGACUGGGUCGGCCUUCUUGACCCAAUGGAUCCACUCUUACGAUCAGAACUCAUCAGAUAUGGCGAGAUGGCACAAGCUUGCUAUGAUGCUUUCGAUUUCGAUCCGUUUUCAAAAUAUUGUGGCAGCUGCAGAUUUAUGAGUCACAGGUUUUUCGAGUCUCUGGGAAUGACACGACAUGGAUACGAGGUCACUAGAUACUUGUAUGGCACAUCAAAUAUCAACCUUCCGAAUUUUUUCAAAAAAUCUCGCUGGCCUAAAGUUUGGAGCAACGUAGCCAAUUGGAUUGGAUACGUGGCAGUUUCCAACGACGAAACAACAAAACGUUUAGGCCGCCGUGACAUUACUGUUGCGUGGAGGGGCACGGUGACACGUUUAGAGUGGAUUGCUGAUUUAAUGGACUUUCUCAAGCCAGUCAAUGGUAAUAAAAUCCCGUGUCCGGAUCCCACUGUUAAAGUCGAAUCCGGAUUCUUGGAUCUUUAUACGGACAAAGAUGAGAAUUGUCGGUUUUGUAAAUAUUCAGCUAGAGAGCAGAUUUUAGCGGAGGUUAAAAGGUUGACUGAAAUGUAUGCCGAUGAGGAAAUGAGCAUUACAAUUACUGGUCACAGUUUAGGCGGUGCCCUGGCUAUGCUAAGUGCAUACGAUAUCGUGGAAACGGGUUUACAUGUGAUGCAAGAUAGUCGGGCAUUGCCUGUUUCUGUGUUUUCCUUUUCGGGUCCUCGGGUCGGGAAUGUUAGGUUCAAGAAAAGGAUUGAAUCAUUGGGGGUUAAGGUUUUGAGGGUGGUUAACGUGCAGGAUGUGGUGCCUAAAUCACCUGGAUUGUUUUUUAAUGAACAAGUGCCGCCCAUGUUGAUGAAGUUGACUGAGGGAUUGCCAUGGUGUUACUCGCAUGUUGGAGUGGAGCUGGCUCUGGAUCAUAAGAAUUCGCCAUUUUUGAAACAAACGGGCGACCCGGUUUGUGCACACAAUUUGGAGGCUCUUUUGCAUUUGCUUGAUGGCACACCCAUGUUUCUUCCGAAAGUUACAACAUGGAUUUUGUUAAUGUUUUAUCUUCUUUUAUGAAAUGUUCAUCCAUAAAAAAAGGAGAGAGAUUAAGAAACAAAGAUAGUCAGCUUGACUCUCUUUGAUUACGAGAAACCAAAACAAUUGACGAGAAAUUAAUGUCGAGAAGUUAGAAAGUCAAAUCAUGAGACAAUACACUUCAUCGACGUGGAAUGGAAAGUGUCAAGAGGGAAUUCAGCUUCGAAGAAGAGGCGUGUAACGUGUAGAUUUUACAAUUCAUCGACCUGGAAUGGAAAGUGUCAAGAGGGAAUUCAGCUUCGAAGAAGAGGCGUGUAACGUGUAGAUUUUAGAGAGUUGUUCGAUUCUAACUCUAUAGAAAUCAUGUUCAUCUACUUCCAUUCACACUUGGUCAAUGGAAGGUACCAUGGAAAAGGGCAGAGAUUUGUUCUGGCCAGUGGAAGGGACCCUGCAUUGGUAAAUAAGGCGUGUGAUUUCUUGAAAGAUCAUUACUUGGUUCCACCAAACUGGAGGCAAGAUGAGAACAAAGGUAUGGUGAGGAACGGUGAUG